AUUGAACGCUGGCGGCAUGCCUUACACAUGCAAGUCGAACGGUAACAGGUCUUCGGAUGCUGACGAGUGGCGAACGGGUGAGUAAUACAUCGGAACGUGCCUAGUAGUGGGGGACAACUACUCGAAAGAGUGGCUAAUACCGCAUGAGAUCUACGGAUGAAAGCAGGGGAUCGCAAGACCUUGUGCUACUAGAGCGGCCGAUGGCAGAUUAGGUAGUUGGUGGGAUAAAAGCUUACCAAGCCGACGGUCUGUAGCUGGUCUGAGAGGACGAUCAGCCACACUGGGACUGAGACACGGCCCAGACUCCUACGGGAGGCAGCAGUGGGGAAUUUUGGACAAUGGGCGCAAGCCUGAUCCAGCAAUGCCGCGUGCAGGAUGAAGGCCUUCGGGUUGUAAACUGCUUUUGUACGGAACGAAAAGCCCCGGGUUAAUACCCUGGGGUCAUGACGGUACCGUAAGAAUAAGCACCGGCUAACUACGUGCCAGCCGCCGCGGUAA
RNAcentral lists this ribosomal RNA (498 nucleotides) under uncultured bacterium. RNAcentral describes it as "partial 16S ribosomal RNA". It matches the Rfam family "Bacterial small subunit ribosomal RNA", at positions 30 to 523 of the family's 1533-position model. The record is from RNAcentral.